Molecule: long non-coding RNA, 1736 nt
Organism: Salvia splendens (bonfire salvia)
Lineage: Eukaryota; Viridiplantae; Streptophyta; Magnoliopsida; Lamiales; Lamiaceae
Exons: 9
Source: RefSeq, a predicted model, not a curated record
ACUAAUUUCAAAAUUGCGCGUUCUUCUUCAUCGGCUAGCCGUAUUCCAAAUUGAAUUCAGCCGGACUCUCGACCAUUGCGGCUGAGCUCCCGAGAAUCCAAAAUCGAGACGCCACCACCACCACUUCUUCCUCCCUCCGCGCCUCGAUCUCGACCAUUGCUUAGCGCCGCUGAGCUCCCCGCCGAUAAGCCUGCGCAAAGCUCGUGUCGAAGAACGCGUAGAAGAAGGCGAACUCUCGACCUCUACCUCGAUUACUCAGACAUGGUCUCCGUCUCCAGCUUGGUGUGAAUUUUCACAAUGAAUCGGUUAAUUCCACAAUUGAACCGAUUGAAAUGGCAGUAGCCUGAGACUGUUUGCGAGCUUGUUGGAAUCUCUGUGUGGAAAACUUAAGAGGCUUGAUCAUGCUGAUUUGAGAUACAAGUGCACGACAUAUGCACGCCUCUUGCAACACUUGGAGGUAUUCCACAAUUCUUUCUCUAUCAGCCAUGAAUUUACUGUUAGUUUUGGCAUAGAUUUGCUACUCAUGCAACACGAAUGGAGCAAUACCUUCAAGGACAAUGGAGGAAUCUGGUUGACCAGGCUUACACAAAGUUUUAGUCCCUCUCUGCCAAUGCAAACCUCACUCAAGAUUUCCCUCUCUCCUCAGUUUACCCUAGUUUCUCAGUGUGCUAGUUUGGGAGAUAGAGCUCAGGUUGAGCAGCUGGUGCAAUAUAUUGUUGAGGAACCCUAGAGGAUACUGAUAACAAAAGGACCUUCAGCUUCCAAAUGUCACAGGUUUUACUUGGAAAAUGACAUCUCAACAGCAAAAAGAUGAGUAUUAUCAAGAAUUUUGAGCAAUUUUGCGAGGAAUAUUUCGGUUGCCAACCCUGACUGGAGAAGUUGUUGUAAAGGUUUGUUUAAAUUUUCUUCCUUUUUAAAGUAAACAAGUACAAAAAAGGAACAUGGUCAUAGCAACUCGGUUCCAUUUUUAUCUGUUCGUGUGCCUUUCUUCACCUGAUGUGUCUAGGUUGAAGGGAUGGUCUGGUGGUACGAGAGAUUUGCUGUAAUCUACCAUCUUCUGUAUUGUCAUUCUACUACUGAAUACUGAAGUUGACUACUCUUUUUGUUUGUAUGUACACCUUUGUGUUUGUAUGUACACCUUAGUGUUUGUAUGUACACCUUAGCAUGCAACCUGGACAGAAGGUUGUUUUGAAGAAAAAAGGGAGCUACUGCUGCAAAACGUGGUGCAAGUUCAUGAUUCUCUGGCCUCAAUCGAUGUCUGGACUUAGAAAGUCACAGGGACCUCGAGAGUGUUGGAGGAUCAUGUGAACUCCGUGUUGAGGUACUCUGAAGUACUCUACAAGCAGUCUAAGGGGAUAAUGUCGACUCAAAGGGAGCUGAGCGAGGUGCAAGCUUUGAUGAAGGAGAAUCUGGCACAGGGAAUAGCAUUGCUUCAGAGCUCGUACUAAAAUCUUAGAGACAAAAUUGCCAAGCUGAGAAACGAAGCAGCUGAGGCAGAGGUCGAGAAUUGGAAGGUUGGGAUGCAAUGUCGUCUGAGUGAGUGUCCUGCAGGAUAAAGCAGACGGUAUAGGGAAUAUGGUUGUGCGCGUUGGAUAAACAAAAAGAGCUUUUGGAUGGGCUGUCCGUAGCUUUCGUUGUAUUUUCUUUUUAACAUAAUGCAAUUAUACAUUUCAUACUUUUGUUGCUUGUUUUAACUACUAACAUUUAUACUUAAUCAUCAUAAUUUUUGGAUUUAA